CGGGGUGAGUAACGCGUAAGUAAUCAACCUGUGACACACGGAUAACUGAUGAAAUGUCAGCUAAUACGAGAUGAACUGUUUAAAUUGGGAAAUGGAAACAGCAAAGCGAAAGCGGUCACAGACGAGCUUGCGUCUGAUUAGCUAGUUGGUGGGGUAAGAGCCUACCAAGGCGACGAUCAGUAGCCGGCCUGAGAGGGUGAACGGCCACAUUGGAACUGAGACACGGUCCAA
This 231-nucleotide ribosomal RNA is filed under the name uncultured bacterium. Its description in RNAcentral is "partial 16S ribosomal RNA". It matches the Rfam family "Bacterial small subunit ribosomal RNA", at positions 104 to 334 of the family's 1533-position model. The record is from RNAcentral.